UACGAAGGGAGCUAGCGGUGUUCGGAAUCACUGGGCGUAAAGCGCACGUAGGCGGACUUGUCAGUCAGGGGUGAAAUCCCGGGGCUCAACCCCGGCACUGCUUUUGAUACAGCAGAUCUUGAGUCCGGGAGAGGUGGGUGGAAUUCCGAGUGUAGAGGUGAAAUUCGUAGAUAUUCGGAGGAACACCGGUGGCGAAGGCGGCUCACUGGUCCGAGACUGACGCUGAGAUGCGAAAGCGUGGGGAGCAAACAGG
RNAcentral lists this ribosomal RNA (253 nucleotides) under uncultured bacterium. RNAcentral's name for it is "partial 16S ribosomal RNA". It matches the Rfam family "Bacterial small subunit ribosomal RNA", at positions 524 to 776 of the family's 1533-position model. The record is from RNAcentral.